Molecule: ribosomal RNA, 497 nt
Filed under: uncultured bacterium
Lineage: Bacteria
Description: partial 16S ribosomal RNA
Rfam family: Bacterial small subunit ribosomal RNA
Source: RNAcentral
GACGAACGCUGGCGGCGUGCCUAAUACAUGCAAGUUGAGCGCUGAAGGUUGGUACUUGUACCGACUGGAUGAGCAGCGAACGGGUGAGUAACGCGUGGGGAAUCUGCCUUUGAGCGGGGGACAACAUUUGGAAACGAAUGCUAAUACCGCAUAAAAACUUUAAACACAAGUUUUAAGUUUGAAAGAUGCAAUUGCAUCACUCAAAGAUGAUCCCGCGUUGUAUUAGCUAGUUGGUGAGGUAAAGGCUCACCAAGGCGAUGAUACAUAGCCGACCUGAGAGGGUGAUCGGCCACAUUGGGACUGAGACACGGCCCAAACUCCUACGGGAGGCAGCAGUAGGGAAUCUUCGGCAAUGGACGAAAGUCUGACCGGGCAACGCCGCGUGAGUGAAGAAGGUUGUCGGAUCGUAAAACUCUGUUGGUAGAGAAGAACGUUGGUGAGAGUGGAAAGCUCAUCAAGUGACGGUAACUACCCAGAAAGGGACGGCUAACUACGUG